GACGAACGCUGGCGGCGUGCUUAACACAUGCAAGUCGAACGAUGAAGAAGAGAAACGCGGACUUCGGUUCAAAUUUCACUUCGGAUUAGUGGCAGACGGGUGAGUAACGCGUGAGCAACCUACCUCUUACAAAGGGAUAGCCUCGGGAAACCGUGAUUAAUACCAUAUGACACAUUCAUAAGGCAUCUUAAGAAUGUUAAAGCUACGGCGGUAAGAGAUGGGCUCGCGUCCCAUUAGCUAGUUGGUGAGGUAACGGCCCACCAAGGCGACGAUGGGUAACCGGCCUGAGAGGGUGAACGGUCACAUUGGAACUGAGACACGGUCCAAACUCCUACGGGAGGCAGCAGUGGGGAAUAUUGCACAAUGGAGGGAACUCUGAUGCAGCGACGCCGCGUGAGCGAUGAAGGAAUUCGUUUCGUAAAGCUCUGCUCUAUGGGAAGAAAAGGACUGUACCAUAGGAGAAAGCCCCGGCUAAAUACGUG
RNAcentral lists this ribosomal RNA (482 nucleotides) under uncultured bacterium. Its description in RNAcentral is "partial 16S ribosomal RNA". It matches the Rfam family "Bacterial small subunit ribosomal RNA", at positions 28 to 507 of the family's 1533-position model. The record is from RNAcentral.